This 536-nucleotide ribosomal RNA is filed under the name uncultured Acidobacteriota bacterium. RNAcentral describes it as "bacterial SSU rRNA". It matches the Rfam family "Bacterial small subunit ribosomal RNA", at positions 9 to 521 of the family's 1533-position model. The record is from RNAcentral. Lineage: Bacteria; Pseudomonadati; Acidobacteriota.
GAGUUUGAUCGUGGCUCAGAAUCAACGCUGGCGGCGUGCCUAACACAUGCAAGUCGAACGCGAAAGGGGCUUCGGCCCUGAGUAGAGUGGCGAACGGGUGAGUAACACGUGGGUGAUCUACCUUCGAGUGGGGGAGUAACGUCCCGAAAGGGUCGCUAAUACCGCAUGACGUUCCGGGUUUAAACACUUGGAAACCAAAAGACCGGGGACCGGCAAGGCCUGGCGCUUGGAGAGGAGCCCGCGUCCGAUUAGCUAGUUGGCGGGGUAAUGGCCCACCAAGGCGACGAUCGGUAGCCGGCCUGAGAGGGCGGACGGCCACACUGGAACUGAGACACGGUCCAGACUCCUACGGGAGGCAGCAGUGGGGAAUUGUUCACAAUGGGCGCAAGCCUGAUGACGCAACGCCGCGUGGGGGAUGAAGGUCUUCGGAUUGUAAACCCCUGUCGAACGGGACGAAUGGCCCGGGAGCUAAUCAUCCUGGGAGUGACGGUACCGUUAAAGGAAGCCACGGCUAACUCUGUGCCAGCCGCCGCAGU